This 1163-nucleotide long non-coding RNA is filed under the name Felis catus (domestic cat). RNAcentral describes it as "lncRNA (ENSFCAG00000043767.2)". The record is from RNAcentral. Lineage: Eukaryota; Metazoa; Chordata; Mammalia; Carnivora; Felidae.
CAGUCCAUGGGAUUGAUUUAUUGCAGUUCUGAAAUUUUACCUUAGUCUAUCAUCUCAGGGGGCCAUCAUUAAAAUCAUUCCUUAAUGUAAUGGUAUAAAUGGGUUCUCCAAUAUUUUAAGGUUUUCUCUGAGGAAGGACUUUCCUGAAGUCUUUGAUGUUUUAUAAUCAGAAGUCUUUUUGAUCUUGCUUGGUUAUACCAAUUUUGCAUAAUAAUCCCCUGCCAAUAAUAAUUCUGUCAUAUGAAAUUGCUCUGCUUUUUGCUUGAUGGUCAUCAAAGAAUAUUUGUUUCAGUCAAAUUAAUUGCCUGUGGUAUAAAUGCAACCAAGGGAUUAAUUUCUAUAAGAAGUUUAAAAGCUGGCUCACUAUUUAAAUUUCAUGAAUCUAUUGGGUUAAAUUUGUUUAAGCCUUUAUUCCCAACCUUGGGGGAGAAAAAAUGUCAUAUCACUUUUCUAAAUUAUCAUUAAUAUGUACCAGAGUUUGGAGAUAACAAAAUAAGAAGUCCAGAUGACUACAGAGAAUAGAAAUGUGUUUGAUUUUCAAGUAAGCUAUUGAUACUUGAGUUGUGCAAUAAAUGAAAUACUUCUGUCUAUGAACCUGAAGAACAUUGACUGAGGAGUCAGAGUUCUGAAUCUCUAUGAGAUCAGUAAUCAGAAGCAUUGUUCUGUGAAAGAGGAUGGAUGGAUGGAUGGUGGAGAAAAAUGGGUUUCAAGCCAGACCCCUGUGUCUUGGUUUACUAAUCUGUUUAUAGGAUUACUGCCUGUGAAGGUUUCAGAUGGGCCAGAUGGCUGCUUCCCAUGGACUGCCCCUGUUCUGCCCUGGCUCUGCUGGGUGUCACUGUCUCUCAUCAGCUACUCUGCACUGCCACUCCUCCUGGCUGCUCUGUCACUGGUUUUCUUGGGCCUUCACUGCCGUUGCUCUCGGGAAGUGCUAGGACUCUGCUGGUACGAAGGCUUUUUGGGAAGCACACUUGCUCCAGUUACAGGACUGUAUCUUUUAAGAAAGAGAGAAGAUGCUUCACUUGCAUUUGAUAUUGAUAACUUUCCAGAUUUUUCAAACUGUUAUCAUAUGGAUCUUGAGAAAUGUAAUCUGCCCUGUAAAUCACCACAAAGGCCUUCAGAAUUAACAAAUCUGAGGACCAAAUCUAUACUGAAAAGAGGUGGGC